UUCAGGUAACACUGAAUGGAGGACCGAACCGACUUACGUUGAAAAGUGAGCGGAUGAACUGAGGGUAGCGGAGAAAUUCCAAUCGAACUUGGAGAUAGCUGGUUCUCUCCGAAAUAGCUUUAGGGCUAGCCUCAAGUGAUGAUUAUUGGAGGUAGAGCACUGUUUGGACGAGGGGCCCCUCUCGGGUUACCGAAUUCAGACAAACUCCGAAUGCCAAUUAAUUUAACUUGGGAGUCAGAACAUGGGUGAUAAGGUCCGUGUUCGAAAGGGAAACAGCCCAGACCACCAGCUAAGGUCCCAAAAUAUAUGUUAAGUGGAAAAGGAUGUGGCGUUGCCCAGACAACUAGGAUGUUGGCUUAGAAGCAGCCAUCAUUUAAAGAGUGCGUAAUAGCUCACUAGUCGAGUGACACUGCGCCGAAAAUGUACCGGGGCUAAACAUAUUACCGAAGCUGUGGAUUGUCCUUUGGACAAUGGUAGGAGAGCGUUCUAAGGGCGUCGAAGCAUGAUCGCAAGGACAUGUGGAGCGCUUAGAAGUGAGAAUGCCGGUGUGAGUAG
This 555-nucleotide ribosomal RNA is filed under the name Staphylococcus epidermidis. RNAcentral's name for it is "bacterial LSU rRNA". It matches the Rfam family "Bacterial large subunit ribosomal RNA", at positions 751 to 1309 of the family's 2925-position model. The record is from RNAcentral. Lineage: Bacteria; Bacillati; Bacillota; Bacilli; Caryophanales; Staphylococcaceae.